UCAAGAUAAGGAAGGGCUUGUGGGGGAUACCUUGGCAUCCAGAAGCGAGGAAGGACGCGAUUACCGGCGAUACGCUCCGGGGAGCUGGUAGUAAGCUUUGAUCCGGAGGUUUCCGAAUGAGGAAACUCCCUUGAACUUCUUCUUUAAUUCAUAGAGAAGAAAGAGCGAACCCGGAGAAUUGAAACAUCUUAGUAACCGGAGGAAAAGAAAGUAAUAACGAUUCCCUUAGUAGCGGCGAGCGAAGCGGGAAGAGCCCAAACCAGUCUAUUAGGCUGGGGUUGUGGGAUCAAAGACUCGAUUCAAAUUAAAAUCUAUUUCUGAGUAUGUGAAAAAAUAGGUGGAAGCCUAUACCAAAGAAAGUGAAAGUCUUGUAUUCCAAUUCUCUCUAUAGAAAUCACUUGUUUAGACAUCACGUCACUAGUCUUUGACUCCCGAGUAGCAUGGAGCACGUGAAAUUCCGUGUGAAUCCGCAAGGACCACCUUGUAAGGCUAAAUAUUCCUGGAUGACCGAUAGUGAACCAGUACCGUGAGGGAAAGGUGAAAAGAACCCCGGGAGGGGAGUGAAAUAGCACAUGAAACCACAAGCCUACAAGCAGUAGAAGGACGACUGAUCGUCUAACUGCGUGCCUGUUGAAGAAUGAGCCGGCGACUUGUACCGACCGGCAGGUUAAGAAAACGGAGCCAUAGUGAAAGCGAGCUUAAAAAGAGCGUUUGUCCGUCGGUACAGACCCGAACCCGGAUGAUCUAACCAUGACCAGGAUGAAGCUUAGGUAACACUAAGUGGAGGUCCGAACUGACUGAUCUUGAAAAAUCAGCGGAUGAGUUGUGGUUAGGGGUGAAAUGCCAAUCGAAUUCGGAGCUAGCUGGUUCUCCCCGAAAUGUGUUUAGGCGCAGCGGUUAACAGAAAACUUAGGGGUAAAGCACUGUUUCGGUGCGGGCUGGUAAUUCGGUACCAAAUCGAGGCAAACUCUGAAUACUAAGUGCCUCUCUUGCGGGAGAGGAGCGUUAACUAGUAAGACUCUGGGGGAUAAGCUCCAGUGUCAAGAGGGAAACAGCCCAGACCACCAGCUAAGGCCCCUAAAUGGUAGCUAAGUGAACAAGGAAGUGGGAAGGCCGUAACAACCAGGAGGUUUGCUUAGAAGCAGCAAUCCUUUAAAGAGUGCGUAAUAGCUCACUGGUCGAGCCGUCUUGCGCCGAAAAUUAGCGGGACUAAGUUACCUGCCGAAGCUGUGGGGUAGAGACCGGUCCAUUAGGUAUUGGAAACAAUAAGUGCGGUUUUAUCUACCGGUAGGGGAGCGUUCUGCAGUAGACUGAAGCAUCAGCGGGAGCGGGUGUGGACGAAGCAGAAGUGAGAAUGUCGGCUUGAGUAGCGAAAACAUUGGUGAGAAUCCAAUGCCCCGAAAACCUAAGGAUUCCUUUGCAAGGCUCGUCCGCGAAGGGUUAGUCAGGACCUAAGGCGAGGCCGAAAGGCGUAGUCGAUGGACAACAGGUUAAUAUUCCUGUACCACUUUUAGUUGAUAGCAAGGGACGGAGAAGGCUAAACUGGCCAGAUGAUGGUUACUGGUUCAAACGGUAUAGGUGUUGAGAGGAAGUCAACCUUCCUUGAGCUAAGCCGUGAGUACAAGAUACUUCGGUAUCAAAGCAGUCUAUGUCACGCUUCCAAGAAAAGCUUGUCCUAUCAUAAAUUAAAAGUGCCUGUACCAGAAACCGACACAGGUAGGUGGGUAGAGUAUACUCAGGGGCGCGAGAGAACUCUCUCUAAGGAACUCGGCAAAAUAGCCCCGUAACUUCGGGAGAAGGGGUGCCUUUAAAAAAGGUUGCAAUAACCAGGUCCAAGCGACUGUUUACCAAAAACACAGGUCUCCGCUAAGUCGUAAGACGAUGUAUGGGGGCUGACGCCUGCCCAGUGCCGGAAGGUUAAAGACGUUGGUUCGCGUAAGCAAAGCUAAUUACUGAAGCCCCGGUGAACGGCGGCCGUAACUAUAACGGUCCUAAGGUAGCGAAAUUCCUUGUCGGGUAAGUUCCGACCCGCACGAAAGGCGUAACGAUUU
Molecule: ribosomal RNA, 2051 nt
Filed under: invertebrate metagenome
Description: bacterial LSU rRNA
Rfam family: Bacterial large subunit ribosomal RNA
Source: RNAcentral